AGUGAACGCUGGCGGUAGGCCUAACACAUGCAAGUCGAACGGCAGCACAGUAAGAGCUUGCUCUUACGGGUGGCGAGUGGCGGACGGGUGAGGAAUACAUCGGAAUCUACUUUUUCGUGGGGGAUAACGUAGGGAAACUUACGCUAAUACCGCAUACGACCUACGGGUGAAAGCAGGGGAUCUUCGGACCUUGCGCGAUUGAAUGAGCCGAUGUCGGAUUAGCUAGUUGGCGGGGUAAAGGCCCACCAAGGCGACGAUUCGUAGCUGGUCUGAGAGGAUGAUCAGCGACACUGGAACUGAGACACGGUCCAGACUCCUACGGGAGGCAGCAGUGGGGAAUAUUGGACAAUGGGCGCAAGCCUGAUCCAGCCAUACCGCGUGGGUGAAGAAGGUCUUCGGGUUGUAAAGCCCUUUUGUUGGGAAAGAAAAGCAGCAGGUUAAUACCCCGCUGUUCUGACGGUACCCAAAGAAUAAGCACCGGCUAACUUCGUG
This 492-nucleotide ribosomal RNA is filed under the name uncultured bacterium. Its description in RNAcentral is "partial 16S ribosomal RNA". It matches the Rfam family "Bacterial small subunit ribosomal RNA", at positions 29 to 507 of the family's 1533-position model. The record is from RNAcentral.